AAGUAGGAGAUAAAUUUUGUAUCCUGCAUUAGCUACAAUGUAUUAUUCAUGGCCAUAAAAGACAUAUUAUUUCUAAAGUUGUGAUUAUGAUACUUUUGGAUACUAUAUCUUAUAACUUGGGCAUUUUAGAUAUUUAAGUUUUAAUAAUUUUGUUAACUAUCAUAUCACCUUACAGUGCCCAGACUAGGGCAUUGUACUAUAGUGGUUGAUUAGGCCUAUUUCUCGUCAACAUAUUUCUUUUAUGAGCAUAUGAAAUUUUGAAAAGAUGAUAGCCACCCAUGUUUGCUGUAAAACAAAAAGAGUAGUUUUAUUUACCUUUUUGAACCUUUUAACUAAAGGCAAUCCCUAAGUUACAUUUCAUUAUUUGCUAAAAACUUAUGGUUUACAUAUUAUAAUGGAAAAUGAGAAAUUAUAACGGUCAAUAGAUGAAUUA
This 433-nucleotide long non-coding RNA is filed under the name Citrus x clementina. RNAcentral describes it as "Citrus clementina (C. clementina) long non-coding RNA (CCLE_LNC003974)". The record is from RNAcentral. Lineage: Eukaryota; Viridiplantae; Streptophyta; Magnoliopsida; Sapindales; Rutaceae.